GGCGCUGCUGAGCAGCGUGAAACCAGAGCGUGAGAAGUUGCUGUGCUGAUGUUAUUGUGUUUUGCACAGUAUUGUUCCGGUAACCACAGCUGCCAGUUGUAAAAUCAACAGGAUUUUUUUUACAGUGCAGGAAGUGAAGCGAUCUGAAACGAGGGGAGAGGUAAGUUUCACAAUAAAACAGGAAAGAUGAAAAAUGACCUUAAGGGGAAUGUCGAGAUGUAUCACAUACCGGUGCUAUCAAAGAGGGAAAUAACAUAUGGUAUAAACAUAAAUAUGCGUUGAUGCGGUCGACAGAAGAUAUCGCUGCACCGUGCAUGACCGACAAUCAGCAACCGGUGAACUGGUGACAGCAAUCCAGCAAUUAAUCUGCACUUACUAAAUAUGCAGAACCUACAUUAAUGGCUCCUACAGUGAGCAUUUAUCUAUUCUUUGAAUGCUGAAGUGUGUCUAACGUUAUAGUUUAUUUAUAUACUGCAAUAUUAUUAUUAUUAUUGUUGUUCAGUCACAAUUAUUUCAGGGCAAAAAAAAAAAAAUUCAUUUCAUGUUUCAGUGUCUACUGGACUACAGUAUGCAGUGGUGUAGCUCAUAAAAGAGUCUCUGUGUUCAGAUACAGCACGGCACGAUCAUUUUCCAUUACUGUAGUACCUCCUCAGAGUGGGCGGAGUCAUCACUGCGCGGCUGCAUGAAACUGCUGUGACUUUGUUUUGAAUUGACUUUAUUGACUUUAUUCCUCCCCCAGGGGAGAAACACACAUUCACCACAGCUCAGUUGUGAAAAAGAGAAUAGAAUAAAAAUAAGAAUAAGAAUAAAAAAUAUAAUAAAAUAAGAUUGAAAACGUGACGUCACAUAGUAUGACCUGAGCUCUCUUUGAACCUCGUCAGAACAGGUACUAUCGCUGAUGGAAAAGCAAAAACAAGUGUCAAGUUUCCCUGUACUCAUCAGAUAAACAAACCCAACGUGUACAUUUUUGACAGUUAGUCCUGAAAAUCCUGAUAAAUAAAAAGACAAACACUAGAGGUUGAAUCUUUAAUAGGAUAAUGAAAGCCGGCAUUAGAAAAACAGGAGUUGCUUUAUUUAGUCAGCUUUGUAUUUUCCCAUUAUUCUGCUGGUGUUUAUUAUCCAUGAUAAAAAACAGCACAAUGUUAUUAUUGUGUUUCUUCAGUAUAUUUGCCUUAUUGUUUUGUGAAAGAUGUAGAGUAAUGAUGUUCCAUAGGGUUUGGGUUUCUUUGUAAUUUAAGCUUUAAAUGAGAUAAACAUUUGCACAGUGCCAAAGGCUGGAUUAAUAAACCGUUAAUUCAAACAAUAAUUCCACAGUUUACAUUUGAUUUGAAGAAAUGAUUUAAUCUUUUUAUCGUAUUCCGUUGUUUGAUGCAAAACAAAGACGUGUUAUUGCACAGGCCUGCCACUGGGGUGCAGUGUUGAACUAUGAUUUCUAGAUCACCUUUGAAACCUGUCUCCUCUUUUUAAUACUCCUGCACUGAAGGUUCACCUGGAAAAUAGUCCUUCCUCAAAACGAUGAUUAUUAAAAAUGAUUGACUGUGCGAUUAGCACUCAAAAAAAUAUCAAAAUCAGAAGUACUUAUGUCACAAUAGAGGACUUUAAAGAGCUGAUUGUGACAGAUAAUCAUUAACAGUGACACUGAAUGACAACUACCACUGUGAUACAUCUGCACACACGAGAUCAGUCCCUGGUUUAAAAUGAUGCUCAGUCAGUCAGCGUCAUUAUAUAGUCAUAUUAUGAGGUUUCAAAAGUGACUCAGCAGGAGCUUUGUUUUUCUAAUGUCAUUCAUAAAGUCAUUCAUUGUUUUUAUUUCUUAAACUGCCUCAUUUACAAGUUGCCCAAGUCCAAGUGCAGUGGGAUUGUUGUGUGAGUCUCACAGUCAAGAAUCAUGCCCAUAAAUAUUUGAU
Molecule: long non-coding RNA, 1907 nt
Organism: Solea senegalensis (Senegalese sole)
Lineage: Eukaryota; Metazoa; Chordata; Actinopteri; Pleuronectiformes; Soleidae
Exons: 3
Source: RefSeq, a predicted model, not a curated record